GCGGCGUGCCUAAUACAUGCAAGUCGAGCGAAUGGAUUAAGAGCUUGCUCUUAUGAAGUUAGCGGCGGACGGGUGAGUAACACGUGGGUAACCUGCCCAUAAGACUGGGAUAACUCCGGGAAACCGGGGCUAAUACCGGAUAACAUUUUGAACCGCAUGGUUCGAAAUUGAAAGGCGGCUUCGGCUGUCACUUAUGGAUGGACCCGCGUCGCAUUAGCUAGUUGGUGAGGUAACGGCUCACCAAGGCAACGAUGCGUAGCCGACCUGAGAGGGUGAUCGGCCACACUGGGACUGAGACACGGCCCAGACUCCUACGGGAGGCAGCAGUAGGGAAUCUUCCGCAAUGGACGAAAGUCUGACGGAGCAACGCCGCGUGAGUGAUGAAGGCUUUCGGGUCGUAAAACUCUGUUGUUAGGGAAGAACAAGUGCUAGUUGAAUAAGCUGGCACCUUGACGGUACCUAACCAGAAAGCCACGGCUAACUACGUGCCAGCAGCCGCGGUAAUACGUAGGUGGCAAGCGUUAUCCGGAAUUAUUGGGCGUAAAGCGCGCGCAGGUGGUUUCUUAAGUCUGAUGUGAAAGCCCACGGCUCAACCGUGGAGGGUCAUUGGAAACUGGGAGACUUGAGUGCAGAAGAGGAAAGUGGAAUUCCAUGUGUAGCGGUGAAAUGCGUAGAGAUAUGGAGGAACACCAGUGGCGAAGGCGACUUUCUGGUCUGUAACUGACACUGAGGCGCGAAAGCGUGGGGAGCAAACAGGA
Molecule: ribosomal RNA, 758 nt
Filed under: Bacillus paramycoides
Lineage: Bacteria; Bacillati; Bacillota; Bacilli; Caryophanales; Bacillaceae
Description: bacterial SSU rRNA
Rfam family: Bacterial small subunit ribosomal RNA
Source: RNAcentral